RNAcentral lists this long non-coding RNA (1218 nucleotides) under Sus scrofa (pig). RNAcentral's name for it is "lncRNA (ENSSSCG00005001815.1)". The record is from RNAcentral. Lineage: Eukaryota; Metazoa; Chordata; Mammalia; Artiodactyla; Suidae.
AAUUUACAUUUUGAUUUUCUAUGUCUUAGUUUUCUUUCUGAUUUAACUUUAUGAAAAAUAAUCUUGUAUAGGUUGGAUGCUUAUCAGUAUAAUUGGUUUGUUGAAUGCGUCAUGCUUAGUAAGACACAAACAGAACAUAGCUUUAUUCUUCUUUUAAAGGUAUUGGAAAAACUAACUUUGAAAAAUCAGAACAGGGAGUUCCAGUCAUGGCUCAGCAGUCAAUGAACCCGACUAGGAUCUAUGAGGAUGUGAGUUCAAUCCCUGUCCUCGCUCAGGGGGUUAAGGAUCCAGCGUUGCCAUGAGCUACGGUGUGGGUCACAGACGUGGCUCGGAUCCCAUGUUGCUGUGACUCUGGUGUAGGCCAGCAGCUACAGCUCUGAUUGACUCCUAGCUUGGGAACCUCCAUAUGCCAGGUGCAUGUGUGGCCCUAGAAAGACAAAAAGACAAAAGAAAAGAAAAGAAAUAUUAGAACGGGUAGUACAAUGUAAAUAAAACUUCCGUUUUCCCGUGUAGCCUGAACCCUAGCUUGGUGGUGAUCAUCCCCAAGAAAGAAGGAUCCUUUCUUCUCUUUGUGCUCUCUUUCCCACUGUCUCUGGCUCUGCCACAGUCAGCAGGGGCAGAAGAGGGACCAGGGCAGCUGCAAUUAGCUGAUGCUGUUUUCAUGGCCAGCUCUUUCUCAGUGUACCCUAACGGGUUCUUGGGAGGUCCUCUGGAGGGUCCAUCAACACCAUGCCACUUUUGGGUGUGGGCAGUGUAACUCCUUGGUGGCCACUUAUGCCCUGCAGCUCCUGACCUCCAGUUAUAUUAGUGGAGUGUCCCCCUGUCAAGACAUCCCGCUUGGGUGGAGACCUAACAGCAUCUGAAUUCAAACCCCAUUAUCCUUUAUAAGAUUCACUUGGGGGAGUUCCCGUCGUGGCGCAGUGGUUAACGAAUCCGACUAGGAACCAUGAGGUCGCGGGUUCGGUCCCUGCCCUUGCUCAGUGGGUUAACGAUCCGGCGUUGCCGUGAGCUGUGGUGUAGACUGCAGACGCGGCUCGGAUCCCGCGUUGCUGUGGCUCUGGCGUAGGCUGGUGGCUAUGGCUCCGAUUCAGCCCCUAGCCUGGGAACCUCCAUAUGCCGAGGGAGCGGCCCAAGAGAUAGCAACAACAACAACAAAAAGACAAAAAAAAGACAAAAAGACAAAAAGACAAAAAAAAAAAAAAAAAAAAAAAAAAAAAA